UGGGGAAUAUUGGACAAUGGGCGCAAGCCUGAUCCAGCCAUGCCGCGUGAGUGAUGAAGGCCCUAGGGUUGUAAAGCUCUUUCACCGGUGAAGAUAAUGACGGUAACCGGAGAAGAAGCCCCGGCUAACUUCGUGCCAGCAGCCGCGGUAAUACGAAGGGGGCUAGCGUUGUUCGGAUUUACUGGGCGUAAAGCGCACGUAGGCGGACUUUUAAGUCAGGGGUGAAAUCCCGGGGCUCAACCCCGGAACUGCCUUUGAUACUGGAAGUCUUGAGUAUGGUAGAGGUGAGUGGAAUUCCGAGUGUAGAGGUGAAAUUCGUAGAUAUUCGGGGGAACACCAGUGGCGAAGGCGGCUCACUGGACCAUUACUGACGCUGAGGUACGAAAGCGUGGGGAGCAAACAGG
This 404-nucleotide ribosomal RNA is filed under the name Actinomycetes bacterium. RNAcentral describes it as "Actinobacteria bacterium partial 16S ribosomal RNA". It matches the Rfam family "Bacterial small subunit ribosomal RNA", at positions 355 to 776 of the family's 1533-position model. The record is from RNAcentral. Lineage: Bacteria; Bacillati; Actinomycetota; Actinomycetes.